This is a long non-coding RNA of Polypterus senegalus (gray bichir), 244 nucleotides long. RefSeq lists it as uncharacterized. The record is from RefSeq and is a predicted model, not a curated record. The transcript has 3 exons. Lineage: Eukaryota; Metazoa; Chordata; Cladistia; Polypteriformes; Polypteridae.
GGAGAGUAUUAUUAUUCUACUGCCUGUUUGCUUUGCUGGGAGGAUGACAGAAACAUGGCACUAUGUAAAAACUAAAUGAUUGAGGUCUCAAUGUAAAGUGGAAAAAAGCUCCUGCUGCCAACAAAUCUUCCUCAGACACAAUGUUUUCAGGCUUUCCUCAGGUCCAACAAGAUUCCAGUCUUUAGAAGCCUUUUAGGAAAUGAGAAUAAAAAUUGCUUGUUUAUUGCCUACGUACUGAAGUCGU